This 752-nucleotide non-coding RNA is filed under the name unclassified sequences. RNAcentral describes it as "MISL RNA". It matches the Rfam family "MISL RNA". The record is from Rfam by way of RNAcentral.
GGAUAAUCCCAGGCGACUGGGGAAAAGUCAGGUCAGGCUGGUUGAUCUGGCUCCUCUGAAACCAAGACGCAAGUUUUGGCGAGGCAGAAUUCACCAGUUCCUCUGGCGGUGUUCGCACACCGUCAUAUGCGAAUGAGGAACUUGGCAAUAAGCAGUGAUUAGAAACCACUGCAAGUUGAGUCAAGUAAUUCAGGCNGGUUUCGAGCCUGAAUGAAUCGCAGUCACCCAGAGGGUGUACAGUUGCUACUGUGUAUCAGCACGGUGCGAACGGCUCUGGCGGAUUUGAAUCAAAUUAAAACCGCCCAAAGAAAAACGCCGAAAGGCGGACAAAAGGAGCGCCCGCAUCGGGAAGGCACCGGAACUAGGCAGGUUCCGUGAAAAACUUCCAACCGCCGGCGAUGUUAAAAACGACACCGCUGGACUGUGAAAGAAAAGCAACUUGAGAGAGCAGAGGCGAGACCCGUGGUCUCGGGCGAACGCACCGCCACCAGCGGUGGCUGACCCGAAGCCAGUGGUUAAGACGUGAACGAAAUUCCAGGCGUGUCUUGACCUGGUUUGCAGGCCGGUGGCGCAACCACCAGCCGAAGCGAGCUGAAAAGCCUCACUCAAUAAUCCGGCGGCUGAAAAGUCCCGGACGGCCCUGCUACGAGGCCGAUAACUCCGUUUGUCAUGGAGAAUGGCGUCGGGAAACCAGCAGCCUCUGUAAAGAGCGCGCCAAAUGCUGGUCCGGGAAAGAGAGCGUGGCGAACUCC